CCACAAGAAAGCAUACCACUUCUUCCAAAGAGAAAAACUUAUGUGCACUAGUUUCUUUGGGGGAACUAAAUAAUGGAAUAAGGACGAUCUUCCAUUGCAGUUUUUAUAUUCAUAUGGCAGAUUCUACAUCUAUCUUGCUUUAAAAAGAAAAAAAAGUAUGGUCUAAAACCCAAUGUGGGAGGGAAAGGUUCAGUGUUGAGAUUUGAAACCAUGUCUCCCAGAGCACAGAGAAAGCCUGUAUAUGGCCCUUUUUAAAGAUUCCUGAGGUGUGCCAGGUCUCCUGCCCUACUCAGCAUUUUCUCAGCUGCGGCCCAGACCUUGAGCUCAGUGCUUUCAUAUGGACGGGAUGAUGGGUUGAUGCAUCUAGAUAGGGGCUCCAGGGCUCCUUGCAGAGUAAAUUCUCCAUAAAUAAUCUCAGAAGGAUUAGAGGAGCUUCUACAAGAUCAAAGGUCAUGUCUUAGUUGUUUCGAAAGCUCUUAUCGAAGAUAGUGGUGAUAAGACGCUGGGAAAAGACUAGAAAUGAGUCUGACUCGUAAGUGAAGUUCCCAUGGCGUGGCAUAGCCAAGAGAGUCCUGGACGCUUAAGACAGACAGACAGACAAUCUCCUCAGCUUCCUGCCCAAAUAGGAUCAACAGAGCCGCUCCCACUCCCAGCAAGCCCUGAGGGCGAAACCACGUGGUGUGAACGUGCUACCUGCAGAUGGUUUGCACAUGUUCAUUCUCCAUGUCUCUUCCAACUUGGUGUUUCCUUUAGUAUUUACGAACUUAUUAUGAAGACAUCUGACAGGCUUAUCCCCACAGGUGCCUAGCACUGCCUUCCUCAUGCCUAAUGAUCUGUGCUUCGGGGGCCCCAGGCAGCAGGCAGACAGCAGGAUUGAAAGUGAUCUGCCUCACUCAUCCCAGAAUCCUGUCACUGCACAAAGUGUGGCUUGUCUGAACGGGGCCUUGUCCACCGUGACAAUGUGGGCCAGACUCUGGAUCGGGCCAACCAGAAGUGCUCUGGACAGUGGAGGUGGAGAAAAAUCGUUAUUCAAAGGAGACUUCUCACCCAGCCACUAGGGCUCAGUGGUUUAGUGUCAACCUUGGAACCAGAGGGAGAGAGAGAGAGAAACCUCAAUGAUGAGAGAGAAUCAUUGAUCAGCUGCCUCCUGCACACCCCAUACUGGGGAUCGAGCCCACAACCAGGGCAUAUGCCCUGACCAGGAACUGAACUGGCGACUUCUCGGUGCCCAGGACAAUCAACGCUCAGCCAACUGAGCCACACUGGCCAGGGCUCUUUCGUUGGUUUUCAUGAGAACUCACAGGGAGGCAGAACUCCACAGCUACAAGCCACAACAGGUCCCCCUGCUAUCUUCCAGGCCACAGAGGGAGCUGGAGGAGGGAGCAAAAGCAGGCCCAGGUGGGGCUGGGUUGGGGUGGGGGGCUCAGGUGGGAGUUGGGCCAACACUGGCCAAACAUUCAGGUGCCUUUUCUUAAAUCAGAUGCUAUCUCCCUGGCUGGGCAUCACUGUCCCAGCACUUCUCCCUGACAGGCUUCUCUCUGAGCUGCCUGUAUCGCUCCUGCCAGCCUGUGUUCACCGUGGAGACGGCGAGAGCCUGCCUGGCACCUCCUCUGCUGUCCUAACUUUAUAAGUCGCCAUUCUCUCUUCCUUCCUGCCGCCUAAGUAACAUAAGAAAUGAGGAUCAAGGGAAGCUGUUUCCUGGUGAACCUGCAUCUAGGGCAGUGGUUCUCAACCUUCCUAAUGCCGCGACCCUUUAAUACAGUUCCUCAUGUUGUGGUGACCCCCAACCAUAAAAUUAUUUUCGUUGCUACUUCAUAACUGUAAUUUUGCUACUGUUAUGAAUCGUAAUGUAAAUAUCUGAUGUAUUUAGGCGACCCCUGUGAAAGGGUCGUUCGACCCCCAAAGGGGUCCCGACCCACAGGUUGAGAACCGCUGAUCUAGGAUAAUAAAACCAGGUACCAUCAUCAAACACGGAAGAAUGAAAUGUCCUUAGAGAUAUGGGAAGCAGGACCCCGAUCUUGGCUUUGCCAUCUGUAAACUCUGAGAGGUCCCCUAGCCUCCUCUGACGAGGUUCCUUCAUCCUGGUCACAUGGUGGGACCAGGUGAUCACUCAUGCGCCUCUUCAACCAGGUUAUGACACUAUUCAAUAGGGACAAUGACAAGUGUUGUGAGGCCCUGACCAGGUGGCUCAGGCGUUGGGAGAGUCUUCCGGUACACCUAAAGGUGGUGGGUUCAAUCCCCGGUCAGGGUGCAUACGGAUGCUUCUCUCUCACAUCUCUCCCAGCAGAGAUCGCAUGGCUGAAAGACACUGGUGUUAUUCCCAUUUUAUAGCUAAGGAAACCAAGGCUCAGAUAGAAUAACUGACCAAGGUCACAAGAACUAGUAAGUGCUGGCUACAGCUGAGAUGUGACCCUGAGAAAAGUAUAAGAUGUCAAGGCUCACUGUCUUAACGAUUUCUGUGUAUAAGUUCCCCUACUGUUUGAAUCCCAGUUGAAAAGCUUACAGAAUGCUUCACUGUUAUUCAUUGUGACAAACCCCGCCCAUGUAUGGUAACCUGACUUCCCAGAUGUGGAGGAAGCUGACCAAGUGAGUCAGAGCCCUGGCUUCAGCCCUGGCUCCUAGGGUCACUGGCAGAUAAGGACAGAGAUUUCUUCUGGACGGGAGAGAGUCACACUGAGGCAGAGAGUGAAGCUACUCAAAAAGAAGGAUUUGUCACAGCCCGUAUCUGAGAAAGCCUAUUCCAGGCAAAGUCCCAUUGGCAACCCCCGGAUUCAUACUACUGGUGCCCAGAGCAACCUUGUAAAACUUUUUUUAAACUUAUUGAUUCUAGAGAGAGAGGAAGGUUGGAGAGAGAGAGACAUCAAUUUGUUGUUCUGCUUAUUUAUGCAUUCAUUGUGUAAUUCUUGUAUGUGCCCUGACCGGUUAUCCAACCCACAACCUUGGCUUAUUGGGACGGUGUUCUAACCAACUGAGCUACCCGGCCAAAGCCCAGAGCAACUUUUUAAAACUCCCCAGGUGAUUUUAAUGAGUGGCCAGCAUUAAAAAUCACCGCUAGCCAUUCCCCUGACUUUCCCGUUCCCUGCUUCCUUGGCCGCACGUGAAAUGACAUCCAGACCCACCUGUGCUUUCUAAUUGCAGAUGAAGGGGGAAGCUGGACGUCAGCGCCAUGACGAGAGGCCGAAGCAGAACCGCUCUGGGGAUGAGAGAGGCCCACUGUGGACUGGAAACGGGAACUGGGAACCAGCUCUCGACCCAGCAAACUUCAGCACUACAUGCUUCUGUUUAUCGUCCCUCCACUUGGGCUGCUGGAGAGAGAAACCACCACAAUCCCUGGGAAAAAACACCUAAUCCUGAAUGUGAAAUUGAGGUUUUCAGUUUGACUUAGCUUGAUUUGAUUAAACUCAAAUGAACAAUUCCUAGCGAGUCUGGAGAAGUUCAUGAGAAGGGUCCUCUGAGUCCUAGAGAAGGAAUCAUUGCAAAAGCCCAGGCAACCCUUCUGAUGAGCUCAGGGUGACCUCGCAAUGAGCACCUGCGAGCUCGGGUGACCUCGCAAUGAGCACCUGCGAGCUCGGGUGACCUCGCAAUGAGCACCUGCGCUAAAGAACAAGUCCUUCUGGCCCUGUGGGCCCAGCCCUCGCGGAGGGAGAGGGCGAGGGAGCGCGAGGAAAGCUCACUUCCAGAGCUCACGUCCCUGAUGAGCACUAGCCCUUGAACUCUCUUCACUGGCCCUGGACAAUGACCUGUUUUGUUUGUUUGUUUUUUGGUCUUUUGAUCAAAGGUGGGAUGGGUAAGCGGAGAAGAAAUGAUUCGGUGCAGACUCAGCUUGCUCUGAAUGGAUCAAUCAAAACAAUCUGCUCCUUUAGAUCCAAAAGUCUGGAUGAAAACCAAGUGUCCUAUUCGACCCUCCCGCCCCCACAGCACCCCCUGACCCUUGGUGGGUGGCCCAGCUCGCACAGUGCCGAUGAGCCCAGGUGCUCGGGGACCGGCUCCUCAGUUCUCCCCACGGAAGAUCUGAGCAGACGCCUCUGGGCUUAGCAGCAUGGCAUGUGGGGGAUGUCUGUAAUCCUGUCCUCGGUGCAGGAGAAACUGACUCACCUGGCGCCAGUGCUCCUCCUCUCCAAGUCUGGGACCCUCUUGUGUGCGCAUCAGGCUUGCCACGAUCCCCGCGUUGGGCUCUUGAGGACCCAGUGGCUGCCAGUGGUGUGCUCUUUGCCCCUAGAACUGCCCAUUGUCCUGUCCAGCUGGCAACCUUGGCUAGGCUUGCUGGAAGGAUGAGGGGUUAAGAGUCAGAACGUAUGUUCACUUACUCUUUUCUUCCAGGGCAAGCGGGUGACGGGAUGGGAAACUAGGCCCUGGCACAGUGAAGUCCCGGUGUCCUCACGAAGGGUUCUGCAGGGCCUUCUGGGAUGACCCUCCUGGCCUGGGUAUUGGCUGGGGAGCGUUUAAAAACCUGGAGGCCCAGCCUCCACCCGGGAGGCUCUUGCGUAACUGGGUUGGGAGGGGCCUGGGAUUUUUAAAGGGCUCCCAGGUGACUCCCAUGCCUACAUAAUGGGCAUCUCUGUUCCACGGGAGGACUGGUGACAAAAGCCCACAGCUGCUGGAAGGCUCGCCUGCCUUCCUCUGGGUGACAGAAUCGCCUGCGAGUUUCUCUGCCGUCAGGAGGGACACAUCUGGGGCUCCAUGAGGAGGACCGCCUUCAUCCUGGGCUCCGGCCUUCUCUUGCUGGUGGCCGUCUGGAACUCCCUCACGUGGCAUCUUCAGAGAUUUUGGGGUGCUUCUGGCCACUUCUGGCAAGCCCAGUGGGAGAGGCUGCUGCUCACCUUCGAAGGGAAGGAGUGGGUCCUCUUCGUGACAG
RNA transcript from Myotis daubentonii (Daubenton's bat), 4855 nucleotides. It is a transcript of the gene named fatty acid hydroxylase domain-containing protein 2-like, with no coding region annotated. Lineage: Eukaryota; Metazoa; Chordata; Mammalia; Chiroptera; Vespertilionidae. The transcript is spliced from 4 exons. The record is from RefSeq and is a predicted model, not a curated record.